RNAcentral lists this transfer RNA (61 nucleotides) under Pyrocoelia praetexta. Its description in RNAcentral is "tRNA-Cys". The record is from RNAcentral. Lineage: Eukaryota; Metazoa; Arthropoda; Insecta; Coleoptera; Lampyridae. RNAcentral also lists the same sequence under 1 other name.
GAUUUUGUAUUCAAUAAUGAUUUUAAAUUGCAAAUUUAAAGGUGAUUAAUAUCCAAAAUCU